This is a long non-coding RNA of Musca domestica (house fly), 486 nucleotides long. RefSeq lists it as uncharacterized. The transcript is spliced from 2 exons. The record is from RefSeq and is a predicted model, not a curated record. NCBI's taxonomy places the organism in Eukaryota, Metazoa, Arthropoda, Insecta, Diptera, Muscidae.
GUACUUUAGUACGCUUGUAAAUAAUAUAAUGAGCUGUCACUGGAAUAAUUUUAACAGCUGUCGGACGAGUGGCUAAGAAAUGACAGCAGUCUGAAAUUGGUUGCAUUUUUCAUCUCACCCGUAUGUUUUUGUGUUAAAGUGUUGACCUCUUGGUUGGGAGGAAAAUCAUUUUUGAAAUAUGGAGGUGUAGGUUCCGGAAGCAGUGGGACGAUAUUGUCACACAAAUACUACGAGGAAUACUCCUCUUAUGUUCUAUGAGAUAUUUGUUUUUUUUAUUGGGGGUUAUUUGUGUGUGGAACUCGAUCUAAGUUUAAUAGAAAUAUUACGACGUGCUAACUCUGGAGGAAAUCGGAUAUUCUCUGGCACAUCAACCAGGCGGACGAACAUAGUGUUUAACAUUUUUGUUCUUCUAGGAGACCACACCAAAUUAUAAAUAAAAAAAAAAUGAAAAUAUUAUGAAACAAUAAAACAAAUACCGUAUCCCAA